AGUAAAAACACUUAUCUAACUUUUGUGCUCUUCAACAGCAUGUUUCACCAUCAGUAGACUUUGCUUACAGUUUCUCUCCCAAUAGUUUGUGUUUUAGAGUUAUAGAGUUGAGAGAGGGUUUAU
Molecule: long non-coding RNA, 123 nt
Organism: Hydra vulgaris (swiftwater hydra)
Lineage: Eukaryota; Metazoa; Cnidaria; Hydrozoa; Anthoathecata; Hydridae
Source: RefSeq, a predicted model, not a curated record